UACGGAGGGGGCUAGCGUUGUUCGGAAGUACUGGGCGUAAAGCGCACGUAGGCGGCUUUGCAAGUUAGAGGUGAAAGCCCGGGGCUCAACUCCGGAAUUGCCUUUAAAACUGCAUCGCUAGAAUUGUGGAGAGGUAAGUGGAAUUCCGAGUGUAGAGGUGAAAUUCGUAGAUAUUCGGAAGAACACCAGUGGCGAAGGCGACUUACUGGACACAUAUUGACGCUGAGGUGCGGAAGCGUGGGGAGCAAACAGG
Molecule: ribosomal RNA, 253 nt
Filed under: uncultured bacterium
Lineage: Bacteria
Description: partial 16S ribosomal RNA
Rfam family: Bacterial small subunit ribosomal RNA
Source: RNAcentral